GCUCUGUGGGAUCAGUGGCGAACGGGUGAGUAACACGUGAGCAACCUACCCCUGACUCUGGGAUAAGCGCUGGAAACGGCGUCUAAUACUGGAUACGAGUGGCGACCGCAUGGUCAGCUACUGGAAAGAUUUAUUGGUUGGGGAUGGGCUCGCGGCCUAUCAGCUUGUUGGUGAGGUAAUGGCUCACCAAGGCGUCGACGGGUAGCCGGCCUGAGAGGGUGACCGGCCACACUGGGACUGAGACACGGCCCAGACUCCUACGGGAGGCAGCAGUGGGGAAUAUUGCACAAUGGGCGCAAGCCUGAUGCAGCAACGCCGCGUGAGGGAUGACGGCCUUCGGGUUGUAAACCUCUUUUAGCAGGGAAGAAGCGAAAGUGACGGUACCUGCAGAAAAAGCGCCGGCUAACUACGUGCCAGCAGCCGCGGUAAUACGUAGGGCGCAAGCGUUAUCCGGAAUUAUUGGGCGUAAAGAGCUCGUAGGCGGUUUGUCGCGUCUGCUGUGAAAUCCGGAGGCUCAACCUCCGGCCUGCAGUGGGUACGGGCAGACUAGAGUGCGGUAGGGGAGAUUGGAAUUCCUGGUGUAGCGGUGGAAUGCGCAGAUAUCAGGAGGAACACCGAUGGCGAAGGCAGAUCUCUGGGCCGUAACUGACGCUGAGGAGCGAAAGGGUGGGGAGCAAACAGGCUUAGAUACCCUGGUAGUCCACCCCGUAAACGUUGGGAACUAGUUGUGGGGUCCAUUCCACGGAUUCCGUGACGCAGCUAACGCAUUAAGUUCCCCGCCUGGGGAGUACGGCCGCAAGGCUAAAACUCAAAGGAAUUGACGGGGACCCGCACAAGCGGCGGAGCAUGCGGAUUAAUUCGAUGCAACGCGAAGAACCUUACCAAGGCUUGACAUAUACGAGAACGGGCCAGAAAUGGUCAACUCUUUGGACACUCGUAAACAGGUGGUG
Molecule: ribosomal RNA, 950 nt
Filed under: Microbacterium sp. MY-CA52
Lineage: Bacteria; Bacillati; Actinomycetota; Actinomycetes; Micrococcales; Microbacteriaceae
Description: bacterial SSU rRNA
Rfam family: Bacterial small subunit ribosomal RNA
Source: RNAcentral